Long non-coding RNA from Etheostoma cragini (Arkansas darter), 159 nucleotides. RefSeq lists it as uncharacterized. NCBI's taxonomy places the organism in Eukaryota, Metazoa, Chordata, Actinopteri, Perciformes, Percidae. The transcript has 3 exons. The record is from RefSeq and is a predicted model, not a curated record.
GCAGUCUGCGGUGCCAACACGUGCCAGGAUAAAAUACCUAAACAAAAUAGGACAGUGAAAUAGGACAGUCAAGCAAGUCGUCUGCAAGACUUUACUUUCACAUAUCCCAACAUGUUUUUUCUUAGUAAACAUCAGCAGAACAUGCAGCAGCAACAGACA